RNAcentral lists this long non-coding RNA (1338 nucleotides) under Nicotiana benthamiana. RNAcentral's name for it is "long non-coding RNA (NBEN_LNC040766)". Lineage: Eukaryota; Viridiplantae; Streptophyta; Magnoliopsida; Solanales; Solanaceae. The record is from RNAcentral.
UAGGGCUCAUUGUAUUAUGUUUACAUAUCAAUUAUAUAUUCUUCUCCCGUGUCUUCUCACACAUACCUUUUUCUAGUAACUCCGAAGAAACUGAUUUCAUGCAGUACAAAAAUCACUUUCUGUCAUUGUGCAGUUGCCAACAACCAGCCGACACAUCCAAGCAAAGAAUUCCAGUACGACUUCUCUUCUUGAUGAUUGGCAUAAUCCCAAUUAAAUUUUGGCGGCAACCUUUUAAGUUUCCAAAAUAUGCAAAGUCAAGCUGAUUUUUUCCCAUUAUGAGUUUGAAAGGAUGUGUUGAAUGUCAAGAGAAGAAGUUAUACUAUUUAGAUGCAUUGAACUCAAAUAAAGAACAUACUGUAAAUAUUGUAUAGGAUACUUUAGGACAUCCUCUGUUUAGUUAUCGAAUAAUUUCUUACCUUUUAAUUAUAAAGAUGAUUACCUACUGUUAUUCAUAGCACAAAAUACUGUAUAAGGAGCUUCAGUUAACCGACUAAUUUCAAUUAGUAGUUUUUCUUCUCUUGUUCGCUCUGUCUUCACAAUCCGGAUAUUGAUGCUCACAUGUUUUUUUCUCCAAAGAGAAAAAGUUGACUAUAAGUGAAUGUUAUUGACAUUCUUAUCCUCUAUGGAGUACGUUUUGUUGUUGUACGAGGGGCUCAUGGAAUCAUUUAGUUCUUUAAUUUUUGAGUGAAGACUACGUUGGAGUAGCAGUUAUCCUAUUAAGCUGUUUUAGAGACUUUAGCAGCUAUCCUAUUAAGCUUCUAGCUAUCCAUUGGCAGGGAUCUGACACAAGUGUUUCAACCAUCAAGGGCUGAAGUUCUGAUUCAUUUCACAAGAAAAGAGUUGCCCAAUGAGAGAAUAUUCUGCUUUGAGCACGUCCUGAAACGGAUACUCUUGAAGAUUAUACAGUGUCAUGAUUAGAUACUUAUUUUAGCAACGGCGAAUAGGUGUUUAGCUUGGAUAAAAGCCUUGUAUAAAAUUGUUGUUGAUGUAUUCCACAUUUUGUGAGUUACACAAUUAGUAGAUAGUAGCAUUUUUGUGAGGGAUGACUAUCCUCUCGAUUUUAGAACGUUUCGAUUUAUAAUUAGUAGUAUAAUUGAUGGAUUAUGCUUCAGCAUCUAUGGUAUAAUGGUAAUGGCAGCAACUUUGAUCGGAUGUUUUGCCUCAAAACUAAAUCAUCCCACAAUGUAAGGAGGGGACUUGUUGGUAUACACUAUACAGACUCGCAGUAUAAUAACGCCCAGUGAUAGUCAACAUGAUAAAGUAAUGACUCGGUUAAAGAAGCUAGGAAGACCAGACCAACUCAAGGAAAAGGAGGAAUGAAUAAUAUCUGAAAACGAG